UAACUUUGAUCCAAAUCNGGCUUAGGGCCAC
Molecule: non-coding RNA, 31 nt
Filed under: Rattus norvegicus (Norway rat)
Lineage: Eukaryota; Metazoa; Chordata; Mammalia; Rodentia; Muridae
Source: RNAcentral